AGUGAACGCUGGCGGUAGGCCUAACACAUGCAAGUCGAACGGCAGCACAGUAAGAGCUUGCUCUUACGGGUGGCGAGUGGCGGACGGGUGAGGAAUACAUCGGAAUCUACUUUUUCGUGGGGGAUAACGUAGGGAAACUUACGCUAAUACCGCAUACGACCUACGGGUGAAAGCAGGGGAUCUUCGGACCUUGCGCGAUUGAAUGAGCCGAUGUCGGAUUAGCUAGUUGGCGGGGUAAAGGCCCACCAAGGCGACGAUCCGUAGCUGGUCUGAGAGGAUGAUCAGCCACACUGGAACUGAGACACGGUCCAGACUCCUACGAGAGGCAGCAGUGGGGAAUAUUGGACAAUGGGCGCAAGCCUGAUCCAGCCAUACCGCGUGAGUGAAGAAGGCCUUCGGGUUGUAAAGCCCUUUUGUUGGGAAAGAAAAGCAGCAGGUUAAUACCCCGCUGUUCUGACGGUACCCAAAGAAUAAGCACCGGCUAACUUCGUG
Molecule: ribosomal RNA, 492 nt
Filed under: uncultured bacterium
Lineage: Bacteria
Description: partial 16S ribosomal RNA
Rfam family: Bacterial small subunit ribosomal RNA
Source: RNAcentral